This 560-nucleotide long non-coding RNA is filed under the name Capsicum annuum. Its description in RNAcentral is "long non-coding RNA (CANN_LNC016786)". Lineage: Eukaryota; Viridiplantae; Streptophyta; Magnoliopsida; Solanales; Solanaceae. The record is from RNAcentral.
AGUAGGAGGUUUGUGGACGGGAGGUGGGGAUUGAACAGGUGGUGGCGGGUAAGCAGGAGGUGGCGAUUGAAUAGGUGGUGGUUGGUAAGCAGGAGGUGGGGAUUGAACCGGGGGUGGCUGGUAAGCAGGAGGUGGGGAUUGAACCAGGGGUGGCUGAUAAGCAGGAGGUUUGUGGAUAGGAGGUGGGGAUUGAACAGGUGGUGGCUGGUAAGCAGGAGGUGGGGAUUGAACAGGUGGUGUCUGGUAAGCUGGAGGUUUGUGGACAGGAUGUGGGGAUUGAACAGGGGAUGGAUGGUAAGUAGGAGGCUUGUGGACAGGAGGUGGUUGAUAAGUAGGAGGCUUGUGGACAGGAGGUGGCUGGUAAGUAGGAGGCGGGGAUUGAACGGGUGGAGGUUUGUGAACAGGAGGAGGGGAUUGAAUAGGUGGUGGCCAGUAAGCAGGAGGUUUGUGAACAGGAGGUGGGGAUUGAAUAGGGGGUGGUUUAUAAGUAGGAGGUUUGUGGACAGGAGGUGGAGAUUGAACAGGUGGAGGUUUGUGGACAGGAGGUGGGGAUUGAAUAG